This 414-nucleotide ribosomal RNA is filed under the name uncultured Wolbachia sp. Its description in RNAcentral is "bacterial SSU rRNA". It matches the Rfam family "Bacterial small subunit ribosomal RNA", at positions 95 to 544 of the family's 1533-position model. Lineage: Bacteria; Pseudomonadati; Pseudomonadota; Alphaproteobacteria; Rickettsiales; Anaplasmataceae. The record is from RNAcentral.
GUGGCAGACGGGUGAGUAAUGUAUAGGAAUCUACCUAGUAGUUCGGAAUAAUUGUUGGAAACGGCAACUAAUACCGUAUACGCCCUACGGGGGAAAAAUUUAUUGCUAUUAGAUGAGCCUAUAUUAGAUUAGUUAGUUGGUGAGGUAAAGGCUUACCAAGACAAUGAUCUAUAGCUGAUCUGAGAGGAUGAUCAGCCACACUGGAACUGAGAUACGGUCCAGACUCCUACGGGAGGCAGCAGUGGGGAAUAUUGGACAAUGGGCGAAAGCCUGAUCCAGCCAUGCCGCAUGAGUGAAGAAGGCCUUCGGGUUGUAAAGCUCUUUUAGUGAGGAAGAUAAUGACGGUACUCACAGAAGAAGUCCUGGCUAACUCCGUGCCAGCAGCCGCGGUAAUACGGAGAGGGCUAGCGUUAU